UCAUAAGUGGAAGAGAGAAAAGGAGAAAUUGAAUGAUCUUUGUUCAUUUUUCUUUCUAUUAUGACCCAGAAAAAGACAUAUGGAGGGAUCGGAUUGGAGGAAAAGGGCAGAGUGGAAUUUGGAACUUCCUUUCAAGUGGGAGAUGAACCAGGGCCAACGGAGGACGGCUGCCUGCUGACAGCUGCCAUUUCCACAGACUCACUGGGCCAAAGUGAUAGCCAACACUGAGAAGAAGAAUCCAGUGUCCAGAUUUUUCAAAGGGCUGCAGAAGUCUUGUUCUGCUGGAUAUAUAUUUUUAAGUUAGAGCUUGUUGAACAACAGAAGAUUAUAGGACCAGCCAGAGACUCAAGGAGAGCCAAUGGGGGUAUUAUGGUUUUGGAUUUAGCUAACCACUGACUGGAGGAACUGAGACAGCAUACAGUGGCAAAGCCUUUGACAAAUGGACAAGGGAAGAUGUUGAUGGCAACUACUGUUUACCAUGCAGAUGAAACAGAUCAACACUUUGCCCCGGAGAGCACAUGCUCAUACCACUUUAAGGACGAAUACCCUGAGAAGUGGUUGUGUGUGGAGGUAUCCAAAGCUUUCAGUCUGGCAUCACAUUUUAUAUUGUCAUUGGCUCUAUUUGAUAGAUGAAAGAACAGAUACAGAAUAUUCAAGAACCAAACCAACAUCAGGCCUCCACAGAGCCAGCACUAGUAUCCGGGUCUCCUGAGUUAUUUGCCUCACUGUCUCUUGACUUUCUUUAACAGGAUCGAUCUCCUGAAUCCAAAAUGGAUCCCAUUGAUGUCCCAAAGAAACUCUCCACUCCCAUUCUGCUGAUAACUCUGUUUCCCGCUCACUACUAAAUACUCACCUCCCUGCAGGGUAAUCAAAUGCU
RNAcentral lists this long non-coding RNA (877 nucleotides) under Equus caballus (horse). RNAcentral's name for it is "lncRNA (ENSECAG00000032234.3)". Lineage: Eukaryota; Metazoa; Chordata; Mammalia; Perissodactyla; Equidae. The record is from RNAcentral.